ACGGGAGGCAGCAGUGGGGAAUAUUGCACAAUGGGGGAAACCCUGAUGCAGCGACGCCGCGUGAGUGAAGAAGUAUUUCGGUAUGUAAAGCUCUAUCAGCAGGGAAGAAAAUGACGGUACCUGACUAAGAAGCCCCGGCUAACUACGUGCCAGCAGCCGCGGUAAUACGUAGGGGGCAAGCGUUAUCCGGAUUUACUGGGUGUAAAGGGAGCGUAGACGGCGAUGCAAGUCUGAAGUGAAAGCCCGCGGCUUAACUGCGGAACUGCUUUGGAAACUGUAUUGCUAGAGUGUCGGAGAGGUGAGUGGAAUUCCCAGUGUAGCGGUGAAAUGCGUAGAUAUUGGGAGGAACACCGGUGGCGAAGGCGGCUCACUGGACGAUAACUGACGUUGAUGCUCGAAAGCGUGGGGAGCAAACAGGAUUAGAUACCCUGGUA
This 434-nucleotide ribosomal RNA is filed under the name uncultured Moryella sp. RNAcentral describes it as "partial 16S ribosomal RNA". It matches the Rfam family "Bacterial small subunit ribosomal RNA", at positions 341 to 792 of the family's 1533-position model. The record is from RNAcentral. Lineage: Bacteria; Bacillati; Bacillota; Clostridia; Lachnospirales; Lachnospiraceae.